UACGUAGGGGGCAAGCGUUGUCCGGAAUUAUUGGGCGUAAAGCGCGUGUAGGCGGCCUGAUAAGUCCGCUGUGAAAUCUCGAGGCUCAACUUCGAGCUGUCGGUGGAAACUGUCUGGCUAGAGUCCGGAAGAGGAGAAUGGAAUUCCUGGUGUAGCGGUGAAAUGCGCAGAUAUCAGGAAGAACACCCGUGGCGAAGGCGGUUCUCUGGGACGGUACUGACGCUGAGACGCGAAAGCGUGGGGAGCGAACAGG
Molecule: ribosomal RNA, 253 nt
Filed under: uncultured bacterium
Lineage: Bacteria
Description: partial 16S ribosomal RNA
Rfam family: Bacterial small subunit ribosomal RNA
Source: RNAcentral